ACGAACGCUGGCGGCAUGCCUAACACAUGCAAGUCGAACGCAAGGCUUCGGCCUUGAGUGGCGCACGGGUGAGUAGCGCGUGGGAACCUGCCCUGGAGUGGGGGAUAACCGAGGGAAACUUCGGCUAAUACCGCAUGCGCCCGGAGCAAUCCGGGGAAAGAUUUAUCGCUCUAGGAGGGGCCCGCGUCGGAUUAGCUAGUUGGUGGGGUAACGGCCUACCAAGGCGAUGAUCCGUAGCUGGUCUGAGAGGAUGAUCAGCCACACUGGGACUGAGACACGGCCCAGACUCCUACGGGAGGCAGCAGUGGGGAAUAUUGGACAAUGGGCGAAAGCCUGAUCCAGCAAUGCCGCGUGAGUGAGGAAGGCCUUAGGGUUGUAAAGCUCUUUCGGCGGGGACGAUGAUGACGGUACCCGCAGAAGAAGCCCCGGCUAACUUCGUGC
Molecule: ribosomal RNA, 441 nt
Filed under: uncultured Caenispirillum sp.
Lineage: Bacteria; Pseudomonadati; Pseudomonadota; Alphaproteobacteria; Rhodospirillales; Novispirillaceae
Description: bacterial SSU rRNA
Rfam family: Bacterial small subunit ribosomal RNA
Source: RNAcentral